Molecule: ribosomal RNA, 423 nt
Filed under: Staphylococcus aureus
Lineage: Bacteria; Bacillati; Bacillota; Bacilli; Caryophanales; Staphylococcaceae
Description: bacterial SSU rRNA
Rfam family: Bacterial small subunit ribosomal RNA
Source: RNAcentral
GACAGGUGGUGCAUGGUUGUCGUCAGCUCGUGUCGUGAGAUGUUGGGUUAAGUCCCGCAACGAGCGCAACCCUUAAGCUUAGUUGCCAUCAUUAAGUUGGGCACUCUAAGUUGACUGCCGGUGACAAACCGGAGGAAGGUGGGGAUGACGUCAAAUCAUCAUGCCCCUUAUGAUUUGGGCUACACACGUGCUACAAUGGACAAUACAAAGGGCAGCGAAACCGCGAGGUCAAGCAAAUCCCAUAAAGUUGUUCUCAGUUCGGAUUGUAGUCUGCAACUCGACUACAUGAAGCUGGAAUCGCUAGUAAUCGUAGAUCAGCAUGCUACGGUGAAUACGUUCCCGGGUCUUGUACACACCGCCCGUCACACCACGAGAGUUUGUAACACCCGAAGCCGGUGGAGUAACCUUUUAGGAGCUAGCCGU